GACGAACGCUGGCGGCGUGCUUAACACAUGCAAGUCGAACGGAAAGGCCUGCUUUCCCUUGUGGAUUGCGGGUACUCGAGUGGCGAACGGGUGAGUAACACGUGAGUGAUCUGCCCCCAACUUGGGUAUAAGCCUGGGAAACUGGGUCUAAUUCCCGAUAGGACCGCAGGGUGGUGCCUGUGGUGGCAAACGAUUUUCUAGUGGUUGGGGAUGAGCUCGCGGCGUAUCAGCUUGUUGGUGGGGUAAUGGCCUACCAAGGCGGCGACGGGUAGGCGGCCUGGGAGGGUGGGCCGCCACAUUGGGACGGCGACACGGGCCAGACGCCUACGGGAGGCAGCAGUGGGGAAGAUUGCACAAUGGACGGAAGCCUGAUGCAGCGACGCCGCGUGGGGGAUGACGGCCUUCGGGUUGUAGACUCCUGGCGACCGCGAGGAAGCCACCUGGUUGGAAGGGUAGUGACGGUAGUGGUAGAAGAAGCACCGGCUAACUACGUG
Molecule: ribosomal RNA, 494 nt
Filed under: uncultured bacterium
Lineage: Bacteria
Description: partial 16S ribosomal RNA
Rfam family: Bacterial small subunit ribosomal RNA
Source: RNAcentral